UAACGGUAGUAGUGGUGUAGUAGUGCCUUCUAGUGGUGGUAGUCAGAGUUAGUCAGGUUAUCAGUGAUGGUGUUAUAGUGAAGGUCAGGACAGUGGCGAACCUCAAGGGCACUGAAGGUCAGUUGAAAUUUAGUGAUCGUAGAGAAGAGGUGUGUUGGCCUUCCUGCCGUCCCGCCGGCUUUACCGCUUCCUCAUCUUUUUAAUACACCUAAAUAACGUGUGGUAACAGGAGUGCUGUGCCUGGCUGUGUCUGCUGCAACAUUGAUGAACACAGCAACUUGGAUCAGUCUGAUGGGUGGAGACAACCACACUAGUAAACGGUCUGACCCAUAACAUUUAGUGUUAUAUGGAGAUGUAGCAGUUGGAGACGUCGUUAGAGGUGGGCAGGGCCAGCUUGUAAGGAAACCACGUGGCUGGGUCUGAAUCACAUGGUGGCUCUUCACUGUUCAUGUCUACAGAAGUAUCUGUAGAAUGUGGUUGUGGUGGUUCAUCCCCUUAACUAUCUUGAAUUGGUAUGUUAUUUUCAUUUUCUGCAGAUGUACUUGGGAAUGUGGGUGGGUCCUCAGAAGAAUCAUCUGAUAGUGGUACUGGUUCUUCAUUAGUAGCUUCUAUGUUUUCCACUACAGAAGCAGAGAAAAAUUCUGUAAGGCGUUUUGUUUUUGCCAAGACAGCAGCAUUUCUUUCGCUUGAUUCUUUGGAAAUCUUCCUUUUCUGAGCUCCUAACAAGUGAAUUUUCUGUGGUAUACUGGGUCUUCUGAAAAAAAAAAAACAAAUACAGUGGACCUCGAGUUUCGUGAUUAAUAUGUUCCAGA
Non-coding RNA from Cherax quadricarinatus, 812 nucleotides. The record is from RefSeq and is a predicted model, not a curated record. Lineage: Eukaryota; Metazoa; Arthropoda; Malacostraca; Decapoda; Parastacidae.